GACGAACGCUGGCGGCGUGCUUAACACAUGCAAGUCGAACGGAAAGGCCCUGCUUUUGUGGGGUGCUCGAGUGGCGAACGGGUGAGUAACACGUGAGUAACCUGCCCUUGACUUUGGGAUAACUUCAGGAAACUGGGGCUAAUAACGGAUAGGAGCUCCUGCUGCAUGGUGGGGGGUGGAAAGUUUCGGCGGUUGGGGCUGGACUCGCGGCUUAUCAGCUUGUUGGUGGGGUAGUGGCUUACCAAGGCUUUGACGGGUAGCCGGCCUGAGCGGGUGACCGGCCACAUUGGGACUGAGGUACGGCCCAGACUCCUACGGGAGGCAGCAGUGGGGAAUCUUGCACAAUGGGCGGAAGCCUGAUGCAGCAACGCCGCGUGCGGGAUGACGGCCUUCGGGUUGUAAACCGCUUUCGCCUGUGACGAAGCGUGAGUGACGGUAAUGGGUAAAGAAGCACCGGCUAACUACGUG
This 468-nucleotide ribosomal RNA is filed under the name uncultured bacterium. RNAcentral's name for it is "partial 16S ribosomal RNA". It matches the Rfam family "Bacterial small subunit ribosomal RNA", at positions 28 to 507 of the family's 1533-position model. The record is from RNAcentral.